UGGCUCAGAGGUUAAAGUGUCUGCCUGGAAUGCAGGAGACCCAGGUUCGAUCCCUGG
This 57-nucleotide transfer RNA is filed under the name Bos taurus (domestic cattle). It matches the Rfam family "tRNA", at positions 8 to 63 of the family's 71-position model. Rfam says of the family: Transfer RNA (tRNA) molecules are approximately 80 nucleotides in length. Lineage: Eukaryota; Metazoa; Chordata; Mammalia; Artiodactyla; Bovidae. The record is from Rfam by way of RNAcentral. RNAcentral also lists the same sequence under 5 other names.